GACGAACGCUGGCGGCGUGCCUAAUACAUGCAAGUUGAGCGCUGAAGGUUGGUACUUGUACCAACUGGAUGAGCAGCGAACGGGUGAGUAACGCGUGGGGAAUCUGCCUUUGAGCGGGGGACAACAUUUGGAAACGAAUGCUAAUACCGCAUAAAAACUUUAAACACAAGUUUUAAGUUUGAAAGAUGCAAUUGCAUCACUCAAAGAUGAUCCCGCGUUGUAUUAGCUAGUUGGUGAGGUAAAGGCUCACCAAGGCGAUGAUACAUAGCCGACCUGAGAGGGGGAUCGGCCACAUUGGGACUGGGACACGGCCCAAACUCCUACGGGAGGCAGCAGUAGGGAAUCUUCGGCAAUGGACGAAAGUCUGACCGAGCAACGCCGCGUGAGUGAAGAAGGUUUUCGGAUCGUAAAACUCUGUUGGUAGAGAAGAACGUUGGUGAGAGUGGAAAGCUCAUCAAGUGACGGUAACUACCCAGAAAGGGACGGCUAACUACGUG
RNAcentral lists this ribosomal RNA (497 nucleotides) under uncultured bacterium. RNAcentral's name for it is "partial 16S ribosomal RNA". It matches the Rfam family "Bacterial small subunit ribosomal RNA", at positions 28 to 507 of the family's 1533-position model. The record is from RNAcentral.